UUCAAAUAGCUUGUCCACAUCCCACUCACCAUCUAAGGUACACAACUGAUUUGGUCUUGUUAACAAGCUGCCCAGAUGCAGCUUCAUAUGCCUUCAGCACUUGCAUAAUCAGCAUCAGAGAUGUUUCAUCUGAGGAUGAGAAAAUAAUCAUGUCAUCUGCAUACGCCAAAUGAUUGAUCUUUGGACUCCACUUUGGCAUCCCAAAUCCACAAAAAUACAGAUGCUUGGUUAUGAACUGCUGGACUGUUUGUUG
This is a non-coding RNA of Nicotiana tabacum (common tobacco), 253 nucleotides long. The record is from RefSeq and is a predicted model, not a curated record. Lineage: Eukaryota; Viridiplantae; Streptophyta; Magnoliopsida; Solanales; Solanaceae.